UCGCGUGCGUGUCCUUCCUCGCUUCUAGUACCACUUCCGUAGGUGAUCACGGUUGCAUUUAGCACAUGCAACAAGCCCUUUAAACCCCUAGAUAGCUCUAGUGGACGAGUGUGCUCUCGUGAUGGUUUGUAGAAGAUGUACCCACAAAAUCCCAAGUCGUGAGGAAUCCACAAUUCUCUAUUCUUGCAAAUAAUGCACCAAAAACAACCUAAAAUGAUAGAAAAUCACUUCAUCACCUCAACUCGUGACCUGCACAGAAAAACACUAAAA
RNAcentral lists this long non-coding RNA (270 nucleotides) under Daucus carota (carrot). Its description in RNAcentral is "long non-coding RNA (DCAR_LNC007443)". Lineage: Eukaryota; Viridiplantae; Streptophyta; Magnoliopsida; Apiales; Apiaceae. The record is from RNAcentral.